UACGGAGGAUCCGAGCGUUAUCCGGAUUUAUUGGGUUUAAAGGGUGCGUAGGCGGCACUUUAAGUCAGGGGUGAAAGACGGCAGCUCAACUGUCGCAGUGCCCUUGAUACUGAAGUGCUUGAAUGCGGUUGAAGACGGCGGAAUGAGACAAGUAGCGGUGAAAUGCAUAGAUAUGUCUCAGAACACCGAUUGCGAAGGCAGCUGUCUAAGCCGUUAUUGACGCUGAUGCACGAAAGCGUGGGGAUCGAACAGGAUUAGAUACCCUGGUAGUCCACGCCCUAAACGAUGAUGACUCGAUGUUUGCGAUAUACCGUAAGCGUCCAAGCGAAAGCGUUAAGUCAUCCACCUGGGGAGUACGCCCGCAAGGGUGAAACUCAAAGGAAUUGACGGGGGCCCGCACAAGCGGAGGAGCAUGUGGUUUAAUUCGAUGAUACGCGAGGAACCUUACCCGGGCUUGAAAGUUACUGAAGGGCGCAGAGACGCGCCCGUCCUUCGGGACAGGAAACUAGGUGCUGCAUGGCUGUCGUCAGCUCGUGCCGUGAGGUGUUGGGUUAAGUCCCGCAACGAGCGCAACCCCUAUGUUUAGUUGCCAGCACGUCAAGGUGGGGACUCUAAACAGACUGCCUGCGCAAGCAGAGAGGAAGGCGGGGACGACGUCAAGUCAUCAUGGCCCUUACGUCCGGGGCUACACACGUGCUACAAUGGAUGGUACAGCGGGCAGCUACACAGCAAUGCGGUGCCAAUCUCGAAAAGCCAUUCACAGUUCGGAUCGGGGUCUGCAACUCGACCCCGUGAAGUUGGAUUCGCUAGUAAUCGCGUAUCAGCAAUGACGCGGUGAAUACGUUCCCGGGCCU
This 854-nucleotide ribosomal RNA is filed under the name uncultured bacterium. RNAcentral's name for it is "bacterial SSU rRNA". It matches the Rfam family "Bacterial small subunit ribosomal RNA", at positions 524 to 1381 of the family's 1533-position model. The record is from RNAcentral.